Molecule: ribosomal RNA, 301 nt
Filed under: uncultured bacterium
Lineage: Bacteria
Description: partial 16S ribosomal RNA
Rfam family: Bacterial small subunit ribosomal RNA
Source: RNAcentral
CAGUCGCCGCGGUAAUACGUAGGGUGCGAGCGUUAAUCGGAAUUACUGGGCGUAAAGCGUGCGCAGGCGGUUUUGUAAGACAGGCGUGAAAUCCCCGGGCUCAACCUGGGAAUGGCGCUUGUGACUGCAAAGCUAGAGUGCGGCAGAGGGGGAUGGAAUUCCGCGUGUAGCAGUGAAAUGCGUAGAUAUGCGGAGGAACACCGAUGGCGAAGGCAAUCCCCUGGGCCUGCACUGACGCUCAUGCACGAAAGCGUGGGGAGCGAACAGGAUUAGAGACCCCCGUAGUCCCUGUCUCUUAUAC